GCUGGCGGCGCGCUUACACAUGCAAGUCGCACGAGAAAGGGAGCAAUCCUAAGUAAAGUGGCGCACGGGUGAGUAACACGUGGAUUAUCUACCUUUUAGUGGGGAAUACCUCUGGGAAACCGGAGACAAUACCGCAUAAGCCUGUAAAGGGAAAGCAGCAAUGCGCUGAAAGAGGAGUCCGCGGCCGAUUAGCUAGUUGGCGGGGUAACGGCCCACCAAGGCGAAGAUCGGUAGCCGGCCUGAGAGGGCACACGGCCACACUGGCACUGAAACACGGGCCAGACUCCUACGGGAGGCAGCAGUGGGGAAUCUUGCACAAUGGACGAAAGUCUGAUGCAGCGACGCCGCGUGAGCAAUGAAGCCCUUCGGGGUGUAAAGCUCUUUCGACGGGAACGAUAAUGACGGUACCCGGAGAAGAAGCUGCGGCUAACUACGUGCCAGCAGCCGCGGUAAUACGUAGGCAGCGAGCGUUGUUCGGAAUUACGGGGCGUAAGAGUGUGUAGGCGGUGUUCCAGUCUGUGUGAAUCUCCCGGCUUAACUGGGAGGUGCAG
RNAcentral lists this ribosomal RNA (551 nucleotides) under uncultured Terriglobales bacterium. RNAcentral describes it as "bacterial SSU rRNA". It matches the Rfam family "Bacterial small subunit ribosomal RNA", at positions 35 to 628 of the family's 1533-position model. The record is from RNAcentral. Lineage: Bacteria; Pseudomonadati; Acidobacteriota; Terriglobia; Terriglobales.